GGAAAGAUGGCUGAGUUGGUCUAAGGCGCACGACUGGAAAUCGUGUGAAGGCUUAAAACCUUCCGAGGGUUCGAAUCCCUCUCUUUCCGCCA
Molecule: transfer RNA, 92 nt
Filed under: Clostridia bacterium
Lineage: Bacteria; Bacillati; Bacillota; Clostridia
Description: tRNA-Ser
Rfam family: tRNA
About the family: Transfer RNA (tRNA) molecules are approximately 80 nucleotides in length.
Source: RNAcentral